UCCCCCCCACGUCUCUCUUUGAUCUAAGAGAUUACACGGGUCAAUACACCGCGUGGUACUCCAAGGUGUGACGCUUGUCGGACUUCACCCACGUGUAAGCUAAUUCUUAGCCUAGGACGUUUCCUGUGUCCGCCCACAUUUCCCAGGCAUAUAUAAGUAGAUUCAAAUCAAGCCAGACCCUUUCACUCCUCUAUCGCUGUCGAUCGAGUCUGGACUAUAUCAUUUAUUCUCCCUCCUAGAGGAAUACCUGGUGCCUCCCUCAGGUGUCUGCCUAUUUAUCGGAUUACUUACCUGCCUAUUUGCCUACUGGCCUAUUUAGAUGCUUAGUGCUAUUCAGCACUGUAUUUGCUAUCAAGAAUCACCUAUCGCCUAUUUGCCUACUGGCCUAUCUAUGUGCUUAGUGCUAUUCAGCACUGCACUUUCCUAUUGAGUAUCACCUACCGCCUACGGAGAUCUACUCAAUUCUACUACUUGGCGCUAUCGGCAUUGCCCGCCUAUUCGACAGCCCACCUGUCAAGCUAUUAGGCGCGACGUCCCUAUAGAGUCAGAUCUGUGCGAGACGUCAUAGCUACGCCAACCCUCGGCAACUCACUGGACAUAUCCUGUCAACUACGCUGCCCACGGCAGAUCAGCUCUGCCCGCAGUAUCCUUGUGUCACGGUAGCCGGCCACCCGCCCUACUGUGCCCACUACAGAUAUUAGAUUUUGGGGAUUGAGACUCCACAAGAACUAUAUCACCGGCGUCCCUCUAUCCGCUAGAGCGCCACCUCCAGCUGCAGAACCUCAAGCCAGGACACAGCCAGCUGCGACAUCAACAGGAAUACCAGCUAAGUCAGAGGACAAAGUGACAUACUCUUAUUAGGUGCUACAGUGAUGAUCAAAAUACCUUACUAAUUAGAGAUAGAUGCAAACCCUCCCCCUUUUAUUCUUAUAUGUAUAUUUAUGUAAAUAAAUAUUCUUUUAUUUUAA
Long non-coding RNA from Biomphalaria glabrata, 968 nucleotides. RefSeq lists it as uncharacterized. The transcript is spliced from 2 exons. The record is from RefSeq and is a predicted model, not a curated record. Lineage: Eukaryota; Metazoa; Mollusca; Gastropoda; Planorbidae.